AUUGAACGCUGGCGGCAGGCCUAACACAUGCAAGUCGAACGAGUGGCGGACGGGUGAGUAAUGUCUGGGAAACUGCCCGAUGGAGGGGGAUAACUACUGGAAACGGUAGCUAAUACCGCAUACCAUCGGAUGUGCCCAGGUGGGAUUAGCUAGUGGGUGGGGUAACGGCUCACCUAGGCGACGAUCCCUAGCUGGUCUGAGAGGCUGACCACCCACACGGGAACGGAGACACGGUCAAGACUCCUACGGGAGGCAGCAGUGGGGAAUAUGGCACAAUGGGCGCAAGCCUGAUGCGGCCAGGCCGCGGGUAUGAAGAAGGCCUUCGGGUUGUAAAGUACUUUCAGCGAGUAGGCGUUACUCGCAGAAGAAGCACCGGCUAACUCCGUGCCAGCAGCCGCGGUAAUAC
Molecule: ribosomal RNA, 406 nt
Filed under: uncultured bacterium
Lineage: Bacteria
Description: partial 16S ribosomal RNA
Rfam family: Bacterial small subunit ribosomal RNA
Source: RNAcentral